GGAGGGGUCGCAUAGUGGCCUAGUGCGGGCGCCUGCUAAGCGCUUAGGGGGCGAAAUCCCUCUCGCGGGUUCGAAUCCCGCCCCCUCCG
Molecule: transfer RNA, 89 nt
Filed under: Chloroflexota bacterium
Lineage: Bacteria; Bacillati; Chloroflexota
Also listed under: 2 other names
Description: tRNA-Ser
Rfam family: tRNA
About the family: Transfer RNA (tRNA) molecules are approximately 80 nucleotides in length. Their secondary structure includes four short double-helical elements and three loops (D, anti-codon, and T loops).
Source: RNAcentral